RNAcentral lists this ribosomal RNA (395 nucleotides) under uncultured bacterium. Its description in RNAcentral is "partial 16S ribosomal RNA". It matches the Rfam family "Bacterial small subunit ribosomal RNA", at positions 338 to 730 of the family's 1533-position model. The record is from RNAcentral.
CCUACGGGUGGCAGCAGUGAGGAAUAUUGGUCAAUGGACGCAAGUCUGAACCAGCCAUGCCGCGUGCAGGAAGACGGCUCUAUGAGUUGUAAACUGCUUUUGUACGAGGGUAAACGCAGAUACGUGUAUCUUUCUGAGAGUAUCGUACGAAUAAGCAUCGGCUAACUCCGUGCCAGCAGCCGCGGUAAUACGGAGGGUUCGAGCGUUAUCCGGAUUUAUUGGGUUUAAAGGGUGCGUAGGCGGUCGGAUAAGUUAGAGGUGAAAUCCCGAGGCUCAACUUCCGACGUGCCUUUGAUACUGGUCUGCUAGAGUGUAGUAGAGGUAGGCGGAAUGUGUGGUGUAGCGGUGAAAUGCUUAGAGAUCACGCAGAACACCGAUUGCGAAGGCAGCUUACC